GCCUUUGUAGUGCAGUGGUCAACACGCUCGGCGCGCAUUCGAGAGGUCCUAGGUUCGAGUCCCGGCGAAGGCA
This 73-nucleotide transfer RNA is filed under the name Stegodyphus mimosarum. It matches the Rfam family "tRNA". Rfam says of the family: Transfer RNA (tRNA) molecules are approximately 80 nucleotides in length. Their secondary structure includes four short double-helical elements and three loops (D, anti-codon, and T loops). Further hydrogen bonds mediate the characteristic L-shaped molecular structure. tRNAs have two regions of fundamental functional importance: the anti-codon, which is responsible for specific mRNA codon recognition, and the 3' end, to which the tRNAs corresponding amino acid is attached (by aminoacyl-tRNA synthetases). tRNAs cope with the degeneracy of the genetic code in two manners: having more than one tRNA (with a specific anti-codon) for a particular amino acid; and 'wobble' base-pairing, i.e. permitting non-standard base-pairing at the 3rd anti-codon position. Lineage: Eukaryota; Metazoa; Arthropoda; Arachnida; Araneae; Eresidae. The record is from Rfam by way of RNAcentral.